Alnus glutinosa is the source of this 2305-nucleotide long non-coding RNA. RefSeq lists it as uncharacterized. The record is from RefSeq and is a predicted model, not a curated record. The transcript has 2 exons. NCBI's taxonomy places the organism in Eukaryota, Viridiplantae, Streptophyta, Magnoliopsida, Fagales, Betulaceae.
AACGAACUAAACUCAAAACGGGUUUAAAAUGUUACUCUAGUGAUUUAUUAAAUUGAUAAAAACCUAGUGUAAAAAUACCUGCAUAUUAACUUGAUCUGCAGGAGAUUCGAUAUAUAAUUUAUUGCUUUAAAUUAAUCAACCACUUAUCUGUUUUAAAAUCAGCCGACCUCCACCAUUUUUAUUAAACUCUCCAGCUCAGGCACUUAUUACAGCCAUUCGUUCUCCAGCUCCCUCCACUCAUUACCCUCACGCUUCAUCAGCUAACUCCUACACUCAUCACUCUCGCAUGCCCUUAUUUUUAAUCCAAGUGAUAAUGAAAAUCCUCUUCCAUUAGCAUUUUAAAAUGAAUUCAGAAGCCGCAUGUUAUUCCAAUCUCCCACUUACUUUUCCACUCUAAUUUUAAUAAGUUUUCUCUUCCAUCAUCAUUUUGUUUUUCUUUUAGUUAUUUUAUUCUCUCUUUCUUCAUCACUUUCUUUCUUUACAUUAUUAUAAUCUUCUUCUUUCUUCCUUAUAUUCCCUCUUCCUCUACUCCACGAACACAGAAGAACAAAGCUAACAGAGACUCAGAGAAGGAAAUUGAUUAAGAGAGAGGCAGAAAUGGUAUGGCUUGAGAGAAGAGAUGAGUCCGAGAGGUGGAAAAACUGGGAGAAUCGGUUCUGCCAUUUACCCACAACCCAGCUGACCCGAAGCCGGCAACCCAUAAACUGGAGACCCGAGUCCAUAACCGCGACCCAUGCUCCAGCAGGAUUGUUGCUCGGACAGUCUCGAUCCCGGCCCAACCCGAAGCCCAAAACCGUAGCAGGCCGAGCAAAACCCGACGAAGCCGUGACCUGACUCUUCUGGGUUGACACCCACGACUUAUGGUACGAUUUCCGGCGGAUCCAAACAGAGAUGAACCCGGUGGCCGGUGAGACGAUUCCGGCAACAACCGUGACCCAGCCGAUUGUAGCAGACUGGAAACUGUGGACAUUCGGCCAGAACCAAAGCAGCCCAUACAACCGAUCCUAACCGCAUCCUCCAAACAAUGAGCAGAAUCCGGCAAUUUUGUUGAGAACUUCCAUCACUGUGAUGGAUUUUCUGAGAAGACUUCGGCUGAGUGAAGGUGAGUAUGUAUGAGAUUUUGUGUCGGCUGUGUCUCCUACUUGUAGGUUUGGACUGAAAUUAUGUGAGUGUUGUGAUUUGGACUUAAGCAAUGAUGGAUGAGUAUUCUGGACCCAAAUCUCCAACCCAUUAGGCCCAGUUGUGGUCCAGCCCCAUAGCCCAGCAAUGAGCCCAGCAGAAACCCAAACUCAAGCCCAUGACCCGAAUUCAGUGAUCCGACCCGCCGUUGACCCGCCGCCGGCAGUUUCUCCGGCGACUUUUCCGGCGACUUUUCCGGCAACUUUCCGGCCACUUUUCCGGCGACUUUCCGGCCACUUUCCGGCUAUUUUCCCCGGCGACCAAACUCACCGUUUCGCUGGAUUUUCGAGUGGAAAUCCUUAAUAUGAUGAAUUGAGACAGCACAAAAAGGACUGUAAGUAUUUUUAUACUUACUGAGGGUAGCACUGGAUUUCAGUAAUGUUGUGUUUAUGUUUUAUUUUAAUUGGAUGCGUGUGACUGAUUAUUGCAUACUGUUAAUAAUCAACCUAUUAAUAUUGGGCGCGACGUCUCCCAAAGGUUCAUGAUAGAGUUGAACCGGAAACAAUAAUAAUCAUAUUGAUUGGGACGGCUUUCAAAGUACUAGAGGAGGGAGGUCUCCGAUAGUGCGAAAACAAGUUAAUUAAAAUGUAAUGUAGAGGGGACGGCCUCGAGAAACACGAUUAAACGGGGGGACGUGCCCUUACAAGAGAGGAGUGUAAUCACUAUAUAAACUGUUAAACUUUGCAUGAAAAACUAUCACCUCAUCAUUAUGUCAUAUCUGUUCCUUAAAAUAACGCAUAAAUCAUGAUGUUGUUGAAAGACAGUUAGCUCACUCAUGGAACUAUGGGAUUGUGGCGGUAACCACCUUCUCAUAGAUGUUUGCGCAGGUACUGAAGAUUAUGGAAUGGAUUAACUGCUAGCUUAAGAGAUUUAUAGCUGUGUAGUUAGGAUUUUAGUACUUUGUACUCAUAGAUGUUUGUACUAUUUGCUUGUAAUAUGUCUAGACAUUUACUUGUAAUUAAUAAGUUCCAUGCAGGCUUUAGUGUCAUAUGUGACACAUGUUUCAUUGUAAAUAGUGUAAAGAUUUUUAAUGUAUUUUCUAGAAGAUGUCAGUUAAAGCUCUGAAUAUAUCGCAAGGGAGUUGUCCCUAUCGGUGAUGUUUAAAAAAAAAAAAGAUAUUCGUAUU